Molecule: long non-coding RNA, 3686 nt
Organism: Felis catus (domestic cat)
Lineage: Eukaryota; Metazoa; Chordata; Mammalia; Carnivora; Felidae
Exons: 2
Source: RefSeq, a predicted model, not a curated record
UGCCGUUCUAGAUGCUUUUUCCUACAUUAACUCACUUAGUCCUCACAACUACCCCAGGAGGUAGGGACCGCCGUGGUCCUCAUUUUACAGAGAAGGAAACUGAGGCACGGUGCAGUGAGUAAACUCAUCGAGUUACACAGUCAGUCAGUGGGGGCCCAGGAUUGGACCCCAGGCAACCUGGUUCCAGAGUCCAGAGCUCUAAGGUGCCCUUUGCCGCGUCGCCGGGUCACAAAGCACCACACCCGGCUGGCGUGGCCCCGUGUACUUACGGCCGCAGCAACCCAGAGCCGUGAAAGGUAAGCUCGGAGAGGCGGCCGGGGCCUCACGGAGAGCCUUGGAUGUCAGGCGGCCUGUCUGGGUUCCGUGGCCACGGGGAGCCACGAAACACAGCAGUAGUAAAAGCAGCCGGCGUUUCCUGAGCCCUGGCUCGGUAGCAGAGACUUGGCAACGACCUCACAUCCAGUGCCUACGAAAUCCCGCGAGAUCUCACGUACUGCGUCUGAAGAAACUGACGCUCGGGGCAUUGGAAUAGUGAGUCCGAGCUCGCCCAGCUCUAUUAAAAUCUCAGAGCCUAGAUUUAAACCUGGAUCUGCCCGGCUCCCACACUCAAGCCUAAGAGCACACGCCCCUGGAAGAUACUCUCCCCAGGGGGAUGUCCCAAGCAGAGCCAAGUACCAGAAAGUUCCCUGCGGCAGCGCUGGCAAGAUGGCCUUGGGGCAGUGGCGUGGGAAGUGAGUCUGGAGGUAAGAAGGCCGGUUAGGAGACCGUAGCAAUCAUCUUGGCAACAGGGGAUGGGGCUCUGCCUUCAUUGGAUUGGGGCUCUAGGCACGAGGAGGCCAGAGUCAAGGCUGAAAUGCAUACGAUUCCCUGCACCACAUGCUUCUCGAAAAGGGGAAAGAAAGUUGCAGGAGCCAACCUCUUUAAGCCAGGGACUCUGAGUCUGGAUCUCAGCCCGGGGACGGUCCUUUUUCCUCAGGGGCUCCUUCCACAAGGGAAGGCCAGGAAGCCUCAUCGCAGGCCCCCCCUUGACCUUCUGAGAUUGCAACACGACGAAAGAGGAACAGAAACGCAGGCACCCAAAUCACCGGCACAAACUUGAUAGAAGACACGGCCUUGGGGUUGGCUCUGACAUACGGUACUUGACAUUCAGAGUCUUGGGUUCUCACCCCGGCCCCUGUUCCCUCGCCAGCUGUGUGGCCGUGGGCAAAGCCACUUCCACUCUCUUGAGAGCCACACCCGGCCCUGUCGUUCUGGGCCUGCCUCCGUCUCUCCCGCGCUCGCGCCAAGGAGAACGCGGACGUAAGAAUCGGGCAGAUCCGACAGCCGCGGACAAAGGGUCACGCCGCCGCACCCUUCCCGACACCCGCGGCCUCUGCGGCUCGACUUUGCGGCCACCCCCGUGAAGAGGUGGAUCCAGCCCCCGCCCCCAGCUUGAACCUGGGCUGGCCCCGUGACUUGCUUGGGCCAACAGGAUGUGGCAGAAGCGACCGUGCGCCCGUUCCGAGUCCAACCCCCAGCGGGGCUCUAGUGCUUUCUCUUAGAACCCGGCAGCUACCGCGGGAACUGGCUCGAGCAGGCGUGCCGGAGGGCGAGAGACCCGGGGCACCCCACCCCGGACCAGCUCGUAACCACGCGAGGACGUCCGGCGGGGGUCAGCGAGGCUGCCUCCCUGCCCACCUGGGGCUGACCGCACCCCAGAUGAGACGGGUGCCCACGACCCCGUAGCGCCUGGAGGAAUGACAAACGGCUGUUGAAAGCCGUCAGGGUUUGGGGGGGGUCUGAUCAGCAGCAAUGGCUCACCGACGGACGUGUCCAAACGAUUCUGGCGGCUCACAACUAUUACCCCAGAGCUUCGCGAAAAUCCCGUGGGUUCAGAUGUGGCACCCUCACUUGACGCGAGGAAACGGAGGCUCUCCGAAAAGGGAGGUGAUUUCCUUUGCGUACAUAACCGGUAAACCACAAAUCUGGGGUUCGGGGCCAGCCCCCCUGACUACACAUCCCGAAUUCCUCCCACCACACUUCGCUGCCCACAGGGGAUCCGUGAGCGGUCAAGGACGCUUCCUCCGGCCUUCGUCCAGUCCUCUGGUAUCAUGUCCGUGAGUAGCAUGGGGACGGCGAGGCCACGCCCACUGGCCAAGCCUUCACAGCGUGACACUUAGCGCGACUCUGUCCUCUGCGCCUGCUUCUUCCCUUUCGCGCUCUGCCCCGGGGUGGGUGGGAGGCAUUUUUGGAAACGGGGUCUCAAGAAACGGUGUGGUCCUCAGGACAGUGGGGAAAGCAUUCGCCCUGUGAACAAGUCGGAGAAGCUUCGAUGACCCUGACGAGGGGAGGGGAUGGAUGAGUAGUUUCUCCCCUCCUGAGAUCCAGGCCCCGGGAAGGGCUCUGCUCCAGGAUUGCAGGUACCUGGCCCUGGGCCUGCCCGGCCACCAGCUGGCCGCAUCUUUGACCAAGACCAUUUCCUUCUCUGAGACUUUGUUUCCCCAUCUGUCAGGAGCCCCCACCACGCUGAGGAUGCAGAACAGCGCGAUCCCGGAGUUGAAAAUCCGUAAAGAUUCCCAGAAGUUUUACGAGGCCAGGACCACUGCCGGGUCCCGAGGCUCCCAGUGUACGAAGAAAUGUGCAAAUGUCAAGGCAGGGUUAUAAAAAUGAUGGUGACCGUUCGUGUUUACACAGAACGAGGUAACCCUUAAAGUCCCUCACCCCUACCCAGCGCACCGUGUCUUAGAGGAUCGCUAAUACGAGGUUAACAUUGAAGUGUGGCGAAUGUAUCCUGAGCCUGAAGGCGGGAGGUUGGUGGCUCAGUGACCGGCAGGGGCAGGAGGGAGACUUGUCACUCACACCGUUGCGCCAGGAACCUCUGUUUGGCCGCCUUUCGAGACCAAGCCCCAGCGGGGCCCAAGGCCAACGCCUCCGCGGUCUGGGACCUCCGACAGGGAGGGAGCAGGGGCUAGUUCCUGUAGGCAGUGAAAUGCCUGGUUUGCAUCCGAACUGGCAGUGCCUAACGCGGCAUGGCAGAUACAAUAAAACAGAUCAUGGAAAAUUUAAUGGCCCGUGGUCGGCAAUCACUGAAUUAUUUAUGCCAUCCUUGCGUCUUCCGAAUUCUCAACUGCUCGGCCCCCGGCACUGAAGCCCUGGCCAGGUGCAAGCUGCCAAGAAGCAGGGCCUGAAAAGAGAAGGGGACCCAGGAGCCAAGAGGCCGGGGCUUUCCGGGCCACCUUGGGCGACGGCUGAGGGGAACGCUCUCAGCUUGUAUCUUCCCAUCCGCCCAAUUAGAAGGUCGUCUUCCAUGAACGAGUAACAACUUAAAUGUAAUAAAUGGAAGGCCAGAACUCUGGGCAGCCUCGGCCAGAGUCAAGAGGACAAAAAGCAGUGGAGAGGGCUUCCCACUUGAGACGUAGACCGAGGACGAAGAAUUUAAAUUCUCUCCCUACCAAAACCCUGUCGAAGGAAAAAAGCCACAAGCAGAAGAGUAAAUCCACAGUAGGACGUAGGCAAGGAUGCUACCCGUGAACCGGAAAUGCGGAGAAAGGUAGCGGGAAUGUGGUAUCCGACUGAUUGAGAAGCCGGAACAAGGAAACCACAGGUCAGCAUAGACCUAGGAGAGCCUUUCACUGAAACUAGAGCCUCCGAGAAGCUCUACGGAAAGCGAGGGGGGCCUUGGGGCAAUUAAAACCCCUUGAAGCACA